AAGUCGUAACAAGGUUUCCGUAGGUGAACCUGCGGAAGGAUCAUUACCGGAGUUAGGGUUCCUCUCGAGCCCGAUCCAUCCCUAAUCCCAUUCGUUUAAAUUCAUCCUUUUGGUUGGCCUUUGGCAGGCCCGCUGCCGUCCCGGGGGCCGCCGGGGAUGUUCAGUCAUCUGCCUGGCCAUGUGCUUGUCAGUCAGCCACUUCAAAUUCAUGUUAACCAUGUCGUCUGAACCAUUAAAUAUAAAUUUAAUUAAAA
This 254-nucleotide unclassified non-coding RNA is filed under the name plant metagenome. RNAcentral's name for it is "partial contains small subunit ribosomal RNA and internal transcribed spacer 1". The stretch from base 1 to 46 matches the Rfam family "Eukaryotic small subunit ribosomal RNA", at positions 1786 to 1831 of the family's 1831-position model. The record is from RNAcentral.